CUCAGAAAAGCAUUCCACACCCUACUCAGCCCAACUGGGAACCUGGCGGCAGUCAGGAUUCAGGUCUUCUGGGGGCUACUUUAGAAACCAGCUGCAGGUGCAGACUUGGUCUUCACGUGGCCCAAGGCAGUAUAUACACUAAAUAAGUGUGAGAUAAGCCCCAUGGUCAAGGAACAAUCCUAGUAUGGAAACUCUCUGCUGUUAUCUGAAGGAAGGGUGGUUCAGAGUCUCAGUUAGGCUGUAGGGUGGCACUGUGGGGCACAGGCAAGCCUGCCAUUGGAGUGGUUAGGAGGGGUCUGAAGGUUUACUGCACCUGGGACAAGACCAGCUUCUAGGACUGGGCAUGCGGGAAGUCCCAGUCUGGACCACCAGGCACUGUCAAGUGUAAGGAGAAAUUUCAGAUUUUGAAAGAAGCAAAACACAGAUGGAUAGCCUUUUCCCGGAAUGCCGGAGCCUCCAGGGGAUUCUCUGAUUCUAUAGACUGAACCUGAAGGCAGAUCCUAGC
RNAcentral lists this long non-coding RNA (505 nucleotides) under Homo sapiens (human). Its description in RNAcentral is "HSALNT0054008". Lineage: Eukaryota; Metazoa; Chordata; Mammalia; Primates; Hominidae. The record is from RNAcentral.